GCCUCCCUCCGCCGCCAUCAGACUCCUACGGGAGGCAGCAGUGGGGAAUUUUUGGCGUCAAUGGGGGGAAAACCCUGGACGCAGCAACGCCGCGUGGAGGAUGAAGCCCCUUGGGGGCCGUUAAACGUCCUUUCGAUUCGGGACGAUAACGACGGUACCGGAAGAAGAAGCCCGGCUAACCUUCGUGCCAGCAGCCGCGGUAAUAC
RNAcentral lists this ribosomal RNA (206 nucleotides) under uncultured bacterium. RNAcentral describes it as "partial 16S ribosomal RNA". It matches the Rfam family "Bacterial small subunit ribosomal RNA", at positions 307 to 526 of the family's 1533-position model. The record is from RNAcentral.